CUGACUGCUAUCGGAUGAUACUAAGCCAUGCGAGUCAUUGUAGUAAUACAAGGCAGACGGCUCAGUAACACGUAGUCAACCUACCCUAUGGACAAGAAUAAUCUCGGGAAACUGGGCAUAAUUCUUGAUAGAUCAUAAUGCCUGGAAUGGUUUAUGGUUAAAAUGAUUCGUCGCCAUAGGAUGGGACUGCGGCCUAUCAGCUUGUUGGUGAGGUAAUGGCCCACCAAGGCGAUUACAGGUACGGGCUCUGAGAGGAGAAGCCCGGAGAUGGGUACUGAGACACGGACCCAGGCCCUAUGGGGCGCAGCAGGCGAGAAAACUUUGCAAUGUGCGAAAGCACGACAAGGUUAAUCCGAGUGAUUUCUGCUAAAGAAAUCUUUUGCCAGUCAUAAAACCACUGGUGAAUAAGGGGUGGGCAAGUUCUGGUGUCAGCCGCCGCGGUAAAACCAGCACCUCAAGUGGUCAGGAUGAUUAUUGGGCCUAAAGCAUCCGUAGCCGGCUUUGUUAGUUUUCGGUUAAAUCCAUGUGCUCAACGCAUGGGCUGCCGAAAAUACUGCAUAGCUAGGGAGUGGGAGAGGUAGACGGUACUCAGUAGGAAGGGGUAAAAUCCUUUGAUCUAUUGAUGACCACCUGUGGCGAAGGCGGUCUACCAGAACACGUUCGACGGUGAGGGAUGAAAGCUGGGGGAGCAAACCGGAUUAGAUACCCGGGUAGUCCCAGCUGUAAACGAUGCAGACUCGAUGAUGCAUUGGCAUAAUAGCCAGUGCAGUGUCGCAGGGAAGCCGUUAAGUCUGCCGCCUGGGAAGUACGUACGCAAGUAUGAAACUUAAAGGAAUUGGCGGGGGGGCACCACAAGGGGUGAAGCCUGCGGUUCAA
RNAcentral lists this ribosomal RNA (876 nucleotides) under uncultured marine group I thaumarchaeote. RNAcentral describes it as "SSU rRNA". It matches the Rfam family "Archaeal small subunit ribosomal RNA", at positions 23 to 905 of the family's 1478-position model. The record is from RNAcentral. Lineage: Archaea; Thermoproteati; Nitrososphaerota.